GAGUUUGAUCAUGGCUCAGAUUGAACGCUGGCGGCAGGCCUAACACAUGCAAGUCGAACGGUAACAGGAAACAGCUUGCUGUUUCGCUGACGAGUGGCGGACGGGUGAGUAAUGUCUGGGAAACUGCCUGAUGGAGGGGGAUAACUACUGGAAACGGUAGCUAAUACCGCAUAACGUCGCAAGACCAAAGAGGGGGACCUUCGGGCCUCUUGCCAUCAGAUGUGCCCAGAUGGGAUUAGCUAGUAGGUGGGGUAACGGCUCACCUAGGCGACGAUCCCUAGCUGGUCUGAGAGGAUGACCAGCCACACUGGAACUGAGACACGGCCCAGACUCCUACGGGAGGCAGCAGUGGGGAAUAUUGCACAAUGGGCGCAAGCCUGAUGCAGCCAUGCCGCGUGUAUGAAGAAGGCCUUCGGGUUGUAAAGUACUUUCAGCGGGGAGGAAGGGAGUAAAGUUAAUACCUUUGCUCAUUGACGUUACCCGCAGAAGAAGCACCGGCUAACUCCGUGCCGGCAGCCGCGGUAAUACGGAGGGUGCAAGCGUUAAUCGGAAUUACUGGGCGUAAAGCGCACGCAGGCGGUUUGUUAAGUCAGAUGUGAAAUCCCCGGGCUCAACCUGGGAACUGCAUCUGAUACUGGCAAGCUUGAGUCUCGUAGAGGGGGGUAGAAUUCCAGGUGUAGCGGUGAAAUGCGUAGAGAUCUGGAGGAAUACCGGUGGCGAAGGCGGCCCCCUGGACGAAGACUGACGCUCAGGUGCGAAAGCGUGGGGAGCAAACAGGAUUAGAUACCCUGGUAGUCCACGCCGAAACGAUGUCGACUUGGAGGUUGUGCCCUUGAGGCGUGGCUUCCGGAGCUAACGCGUUAAGUCACCGCCUGGGGAGUACGGCCGCAAGGUUAAAACUCAAAUGAAUUGACGGGGGCCCGCACAAGCGGUGGAGCAUGUGGUUUAAUUCGAUGCAACGCGAAGAACCUUACCUGGUCUUGACAUCCACGGAAGUUUUCAGAGAUGAGAAUGUGCCUUCGGGAACCGUGAGACAGGUGCUGCAUGGCUGUCGUCAGCUCGUGUUGUGAAAUGUUGGGUUAAGUCCCGCAACGAGCGCAACCCUUAUCCUUUGUUGCCAGCGGUCCGGCCGGGAACUCAAAGGAGACUGCCAGUGAUAAACUGGAGGAAGGUGGGGAUGACGUCAAGUCAUCAUGGCCCUUACGACCAGGGCUACACACAUGCUACAAUGGCGCAUACAAAGAGAAGCGACCUCGCGAGAGCAAGCGGACCUCAUAAAGUGCGUCGUAGUCCGGAUUGGAGUCUGCAACUCGACUCCAUGAAGUCGGAAUUGCUAGUAAUCGUGGAUCAGAAUGCCACGGUGAAUACGUUCCCGGGCCUUGUACACCCGCCCGUCACACCAUGGGAGUGGGUUGCAAAAGAAGUAGGUAGCUUAACCUUCGGGAGGGCGCUUACCACUUUGUGAUUCAUGACUGGGGUGAAGUCGUAACAAGGUAACCGUAGGGGAACCUGCGGUUG
This 1518-nucleotide ribosomal RNA is filed under the name metagenome. RNAcentral's name for it is "bacterial SSU rRNA". It matches the Rfam family "Bacterial small subunit ribosomal RNA". The record is from RNAcentral.